Molecule: long non-coding RNA, 234 nt
Organism: Gossypium arboreum
Lineage: Eukaryota; Viridiplantae; Streptophyta; Magnoliopsida; Malvales; Malvaceae
Exons: 3
Source: RefSeq, a predicted model, not a curated record
UGUCAAUGUGGAACAUGAUGAUACAAUGUCUCGCAGUUUUUUGAAUCGUCUGCCGGCGGUUAAUGUCCGUUGCAAUGCAUGCAACAAGUACAUUGCCGAGAAAUUUGUAGGGCUUACUCCGCCUUGCCCUCGAGUAAUGGAAGGAAGUUAUUUACUACAUACGGACCGGAUGCUGUAUUGGAAUGGAACCCAGUUGCGUUACGCGCCAGGAGCCUACGAUGACAGAACCCCUUA